Molecule: non-coding RNA, 32 nt
Filed under: Rattus norvegicus (Norway rat)
Lineage: Eukaryota; Metazoa; Chordata; Mammalia; Rodentia; Muridae
Source: RNAcentral
UGGAGCUGCAUACAUGUUCUACUCUGAACAAC